GGUUUGAGAAUUUUGAAACACUCACAAUACAGCUUCGGUAGCAUCAGUGAUAUUCUCCCUUUAUCACCCAGGCUGGAAUACAGUGGCACCAUCUCAGCUUACUGCAACCUCUGCCUCCUGGAUUCAAGCGACUCUCGUGCCUCAGUCUCCCGAGUAGCUGGGAUUACAGGAGGAAAGGCUGGACCCUGUAUUUGUGUUGUGUACCCUCACUCUAGGAGGUGUCUUCACACUAAGAGAUGGCCACUCAGCUUCUGGCAUUAUCACUCUGCAUCUACUUUGCCAAGCUUCUUCUUUUGAAACGUCUUGUGUAGGCAGUAGUUAUGAAUAUGCCACCCAGAAGAAUACCAGAUGAAUAAACUUACAAAUAUUUUGAAUAAAGCUCAAUCUAACAAUAGAUAUUUGAAUGAAAAUACUGGAAUCUCUUGUAAUAGCUCAGAAGGUAGCUUAAGUUUUAGCACAGGUGGUAGGAUCACAACACCUUGACCAGGACAGUCCACCUCUGAGCCUCGUCUACUAUGUGGUUUCUGAGUUCUGAAGCUCAGAAUGUUACAUAUAUGGGAAGUAGAAUAUAAUAAUCUAUGUAAUUUCUCUGGAUUCCAUUCCCAGUUAUCACAUGCCCCAAGAUUCCCAAUAAAUCAGAAAACCUCACAUUUGCAUUUUAGUAUUUCCAAAGGUUUUUUAUUUUUAUUUAGAGACUGGGUUUCACUGUUGCCUAGGCCAGAGUGCAGGGGCUAUUCACAGGUGCGAUCAUAGCACCCCACAGCCUUGAAUACCUGGGCUCAAGCAAUCCUCUUGCCUCAGCCUCCCAAGCAGCUGGGACUACAGGCACCCAGCUUCCAAGGCUGUUUUUAUUUUUAUUUUUUAAAGUUAUGUAUAGAUAGGAAAUCAAACACUUAGGAGUGAGCCCUCUCAACUCUUACUCCUCUCACAUUUCCCUCUCAGUCUAUACAUAAUCAGAAACCUGGGAGACCCUUGAUGUUGUCAAGUAAACAUUUCAGGUGUGAUAAAAAAGGAUAUAGGCGCCUAAAUUUUAAACUUACUAGCAUAAUCACGUUAUCAACAUAAAUUAACUACUGAAAGUUAAUUUGCUUAAACAUGGCUGAUCACAGUUUUUACCCCAUCAGUCAAUCUCAAUAACUUCUCUUACUUCAAGUGAAGAUAGUACUAUCUAUUAUAAGAAUAAUUCUAAAGCUGCACUCAUGAACAGUCAUGUGCUUCAUUUUCAAUGAGUCAAGAGCCAUAUGGUUCUCUUUAAUGAAUACAACUCUGGCAACAAAAUCUUGGCUCUCCCUUCCUGUUACUUGCAAUAAAAAAAUUU
RNAcentral lists this long non-coding RNA (1318 nucleotides) under Homo sapiens (human). Its description in RNAcentral is "HSALNT0323332". The record is from RNAcentral. Lineage: Eukaryota; Metazoa; Chordata; Mammalia; Primates; Hominidae.